UGAGGAAUAUUGGUCAAUGGGCGCAAGCCUGAACCAGCCAUCCCGCGUGCAGGAAGACGGCGCUAUGCGUUGUAAACUGCUUUUCCAGGGGGAGAAACUUGCGCACGUGUUGCGCAAUUGACGGUACCCUGGGAAUAAGCAUCGGCUAACUCCGUGCCAGCAGCCGCGGUAAUACGGAGGAUGCGAGCGUUAUCCGGAUUCAUUGGGUUUAAAGGGUGCGUAGGCGGACUAUUAAGUCAGUGGUGAAAUCCUGCAGCUUAACUGCAGAACUGCCAUUGAUACUGAUAGCCUUGAGUUUGGUUAAGGUAGGCGGAAUGUGUAAUGUAGCGGUGAAAUGCUUAGAUAUUACACAGAACACCAAUUGCGUAGGCAGCUUACUGAGCCGACACUGACGCUGAGGCACGAAAGCGUGGGGAUCGAA
Molecule: ribosomal RNA, 421 nt
Filed under: uncultured bacterium
Lineage: Bacteria
Description: bacterial SSU rRNA
Rfam family: Bacterial small subunit ribosomal RNA
Source: RNAcentral